This 2667-nucleotide long non-coding RNA is filed under the name Triticum aestivum (bread wheat). RNAcentral's name for it is "long non-coding RNA (TAES_LNC015974)". Lineage: Eukaryota; Viridiplantae; Streptophyta; Magnoliopsida; Poales; Poaceae. The record is from RNAcentral.
UUCGAUUAAUGAUUUAGUAGAUAUUGAUUUAAACUGCUUAUAUUGAUUUUUGUGUUCAGGUUGAGAUAACUAGGGUAAUUUUCUAGCCAUACAAGUAAGAUAAUAUGCCUUGAGUAUUCAAACCAGGUAAUCAAUUUUUGCAACUUGAUAUUUGAUUCUUGCAAGGAAUAUUGUUGUUUGCCUGAUUAACGAGAUACUCAAGUCACUUUACAAAAAUGGUACGUCUUUGGAGGCCUUCAUAGGGAAAACUGCUGGCGUUGGCAUCGCUGUUGUCAGUUAUAAACGAAAUGAUCUUUAGCGUGAUGGAAAGUUAUCAGCUCUCGUGGUGAUCACUGAUGAUCUUUAGCAUUGCAUAGUGAGUAUGAGAUUGGACCUCCGUCUUUGGUACAAAUUUGGUUCCCGUCCGCCUAAGUAGUAGUAGAGGGAUCAUAUAAUGCUUAUUUGCAUUGUGCUUUCCCUUCUUUGGUGGAAAUUAAUUUCAUUUCCAUUACCAAAUUUGUACAGAAAAUGUAGAAUGCUAAUGGCAUAAUUACUUUUUCCUCCAGAGCAGAGUUUCUAAGCAAACAAAAAUGGCCACUUGUCCUGCAUAGUGCAUGCAGAGGAGAAAAGUAUGUGCUACCAUAUCCUGAUUGUCAAGAGUAAAUGUGUGUAUGGUUUUCACUUAAGGCAUUGUUCUGAAGUGUCUUUGCAACUUCAGAUUGUGAUUUUAGUGUUACUAUUUCUUACAUGUUAGAAGGUGCACAUUAUCUUUCUCAUCCCAUCUUUGCACAUUAGUUAUUAUCUAUAAUCAGAGAGUAAGAAAUGAAAUAUUUAUUUAUUUUUAGCAUCAAAAUGUUAAAUAUGCAUGACAUCAGAUCCAAUGCACAUAUCUAAAUUAAGACAAAUUUGUUUGAUCAGUGGAGAAUUGCAUACCUUUUUUUUAUUCUGUGCCAACACACGGGUAUUUAUCUAGGCGGAUAUAGACAAUGUGUUAUUUAAUGCAUUGUUAUUUAGUUGGCUAUAGUUGGCCGGUACUAAGUUCUAAAAAGCACCCUCCUCCAAGAGCCAAAUUUCUGUAAAAUUUAGAGUGAAUAAAUCUUUGUUCUAUAUGCAUGCAAUUUUUGGCAGCAUCUUUUAGUUUCUUUUACCGGGAGUGUUAGUUUCUUUUAGAAUUUAGAAAUGGUUGUUCAUGUGUUCCUUCUCACCAGAUCGGAGUUGAUUGGUUUGUUUGUUCCUUUUUAUCAGUCAUCUACCAUGUAAUGUUCUAUGUGAGUUUUUGUUUUAGUCCAAGGAUAUAUUUUCUCUCAUGUGCUUUAAUCAUAUGCACACAUGGUUGCGCAUUGGAGUGUGGGUGCAAUAUUAAAACCAGUCGAUCAUUCCUUUGUUUGUUCCUUUCUAUCAGUCAUAUACCAUGGAAUGUUCUAUAUGAGUUUUUGUUUUUGUCCAAGGAUAUAUUUUCUCUCAUGUGCUUUAAUCAUAUGCGCACAUGGUUGCGCAUUGGAGUGUGGGUGCAAUAUUAAAACCAGUCGAUCAUUCCUUUGUUUGUUCCUUUUUAUCAGUCAUCUACCAUGGAAUGUUCCAUAUGAGUUUUGGUUUAGUCCAAGGAUAUAUUUUCUCUCAUGUGCUUUAAUCAUAUGCGCACAUGGUUGCGCAUUGGAGUGUGGGUGCAAUAUUAAAACCAGUCGAUCAUUCCUUUUUAUGAUGAAUUUAAUAAAUUUUAUUUUGAAUGUAGUCUUAAGACAUCUAUUGUAUUUUUAGACUAAAAUUUUGAAUUGUAGGGUCUAUGUCAGUGAUGUGAAGCUUACCUGUUCUAUGAUGUUUUAACAACAGGCCAUCCAUGGUUGCUUGACAGGAAACAGAGAAGUAGCAGGAUGGGUAUAAUCAACUCAGCUGUUGGUUGCAUUGGGAGGUGGCAUGAACAAAGUAAAGGGGAAGAAAGCGAGCUUGGACACUAGGUGGUGGCACCAACCUGCAACUGUUUUGUUUCGGUCAAAGCAGGGGAGGGGUCAGGCAUGAACCAAACAGCUAUGGCUUAUUGCUUUGAGUCUUGCCGCACUAGGCAAGGUUAGAUCUUGUAAUGUCAUUUUCACGAUGCAAUGAUCAAGCUCUAAGAAAUUCUUGCGUACAUGUCUUUCAGUACUAUUUUUUCCCAUGGUUCAUCUGUGUAUGUCAUUUCCGUGAUGCGGUGAUUUUAAUAAUCUUGCUUAAAAUCGUUACUUAUUAGUUGUAACCAUUGUGGUCAAAUAAAGUUGGAAGCUUAAUCUUCAACCUUGUACAUUGUAGCUUUACUGUGAUCAUAGAGGAUAACACAAUGUGAUAUUGUCAUCUACAUGGUGAAUGUAGCCACUAAUACCUCUUUCAGUGUUGUCGAAAUUCAGACUUCAGUUUGUAGGUAAUCUGCUUGUGCACUGAUUUCACUUACAUUUGAGUACAAGCACUUCGGUUUUGAACUCUCAACUAGAGCUGCUCUUCUUUUGUUUUAUAAUAUAGGCAAGAAUAAGUAUCAGGACUAUUGCUAUGGUACCCAUGUCAAGUCUAGCAGUGGAUUAAAAAGUUUACCACGUGAAAUCAUUUUUGUUUGUUGUACAGAUUAUAACCAUUCAAUUGUGUGCUCCAGAGUGGUGGAGUAAGUGAGCUUGGAUGAAGUUCGAAAAGUUAUCUUAUCUCAUACAAAGGUCAAGAUUUCCC